GAUGAACGCUGGCGGCGUGCCUAAUACAUGCAAGUCGAGCGAACAGAUAAGGAGCUUGCUCCUUUGACGUUAGCGGCGGACGGGUGAGUAACACGUGGGUAACCUACCUAUAAGACUGGAAUAAUUCCGGGAAACCGGGGCUAAUGCCGGAUAACAUUUAGAACCGCAUGGUUCUAAAGUGAAAGAUGGUUUUGCUAUCACUUAUAGAUGGACCCGCGCCGUAUUAGCUAGUUGGUAAGGUAACGGCUUACCAAGGCAACGAUACGUAGCCGACCUGAGAGGGUGAUCGGCCACACUGGAACUGAGACACGGUCCAGACUCCUACGGGAGGCAGCAGUAGGGAAUCUUCCGCAAUGGGCGAAAGCCUGACGGAGCAACGCCGCGUGAGUGAUGAAGGUCUUCGGAUCGUAAAACUCUGUUAUUAGGGAAGAACAAAUGUGUAAGUAACUGUGCACGUCUUGACGGUACCUAAUCAGAAAGCCACGGCUAACUACGUG
This 497-nucleotide ribosomal RNA is filed under the name uncultured bacterium. RNAcentral's name for it is "partial 16S ribosomal RNA". It matches the Rfam family "Bacterial small subunit ribosomal RNA", at positions 28 to 507 of the family's 1533-position model. The record is from RNAcentral.